UGUGGGAGCGGGCUUGCUCGCGAUGGCGGUUCGCCUGACACACCGCUAUCGCGAGCAAGCCCGCUCCCACA
Molecule: unclassified non-coding RNA, 71 nt
Filed under: Pseudomonas gessardii
Lineage: Bacteria; Pseudomonadati; Pseudomonadota; Gammaproteobacteria; Pseudomonadales; Pseudomonadaceae
Source: RNAcentral